UACGUAGGGGGCAAGCGUUGUCCGGAAUCAUUGGGCGUAAAGAGCGUGUAGGCGGCCCGGUAAGUCCGCCGUGAAAGUCCAGGGCUCAACCCUGGAAUGCCGGUGGAUACUGUCGGGCUAGAGUCCGGAAGGGGCGAGUGGAAUUCCUGGUGUAGCGGUGAAAUGCGCAGAUAUCAGGAGGAACACCGAUGGCGAAGGCAGGUCUCUGGGCCGAUACUGACGCUGAGGAGCGAAAGCGUGGGGAGCGAACAGG
RNAcentral lists this ribosomal RNA (253 nucleotides) under uncultured bacterium. RNAcentral describes it as "partial 16S ribosomal RNA". It matches the Rfam family "Bacterial small subunit ribosomal RNA", at positions 524 to 776 of the family's 1533-position model. The record is from RNAcentral.